This 1323-nucleotide ribosomal RNA is filed under the name Triticum aestivum (bread wheat). RNAcentral describes it as "partial small subunit ribosomal RNA". Lineage: Eukaryota; Viridiplantae; Streptophyta; Magnoliopsida; Poales; Poaceae. The record is from RNAcentral.
AUGGGCGCGGGUGCGGAGAGAUCCAGCAACAAAAGAACCAUGGCGGCCGAUCCGACCAGCCGAGACGAUCCCUUGCCGGAGAAGAAGAAGAAGGUGGUGGAUCUGGGGAGCGACAGUGACGAGGACUUGCCUAAUCCGUCACAAUGGGCGGGGGUUAAUCCCGAUUCCUUCGGCGAUGACUACUUGGCCAAGAUGGAAAAGGCUAGACUCGACGAAGAAUCAGCUCCCCGCCCUGUGAAAAUUUCUCCGCUCGACUACUACAAACCUGCCACCAGGUUUCACACCAUCGAGCUUUUCCCCGUCUUUCGAUCCGGAAGCAAGGCUGUGCUCCUCGCUGCGAAAUUUCUUCUAGGGAUUUCAUCCUCUUGCGAUGGUGAACCGCUAAGAAGGUGCUCUGGCUUCUGGGUCGAUUGGGAUGAGGAGAAGAAAACUGGCCUUGUUUUGACAACUGCGCGGCUGAUUCGCACAAAGGAUGCUCCUUACAGUGUCUGGUCAGGCGGUGAAGAGUAUGCUACAGAUGCUGAUGUCACUGUUCAUUUGCUAAAUGGCACCAGUGCAAAGGGCCAGCUGGUCUAUCUCCAGCCCCACUACGAUCUCGCUUUCCUGAGCGUUCAGGUGGAUCAACCAAUCAACUUACCAUCUUUGAAUGAAAAAGAUGUAGAAUUUGCUCAAGAGGUUUUUCGGCUCGGAAGAGACAAUUCCUUAAAUCUAAGGAUAACAUAUGCCAGGGCAGAAUAUUUGAAUCCAACUAUGUUUGAGCGGCACCACAAUGUAUACUUCCGUUCUCCAGAUGGCCAUGGUGAUGAUAAUGAGUUUGACUAUGGGGGGCUAGUUAUUGACCUGCGUGGAGAAGUUGUCGGAAUGGUCAACGUCCCUAAGAGAUUUGGGUCUUUCAUACCUUCUUCCAUUUUGCUCAAUUGUUCGGAUUCAUGGAAGAAAUAUCAGCACAUCGCCCGGCCUCAUCUUGGAAUGAUGUUUAAGGACAUCAAACUUCUAGAACCUGCUCAUGUUGACAUGUUAUGGCGUAUGUUUAACAUUGAUGAUGGUCUUAUUGUUCAAGAGGUGUCGGGAGGGUCGCCUGCUGAGAAAUUUGGAAUCCAAAAAGGUGAUAUUAUCGAAUCUUUCAAUGGAAAGCAUGUUUCUUCCACAAUUGAGUUGGAAAAUACACUGAUGAGCAUAUACAAGGGAACUUUAGAUGCUGAAGUUCGUAUUUCUGUUGGGGUGUUUCACACACUCAAAGAACAAUGGAGCACCAUAGAGUUGACUGCAAAAUUAUCAGAACUUGGAGAAGUUAUUACAAGAGGUGCAAAUCUCCUUUUUUAA